This 378-nucleotide ribosomal RNA is filed under the name uncultured bacterium. Its description in RNAcentral is "bacterial SSU rRNA". It matches the Rfam family "Bacterial small subunit ribosomal RNA", at positions 790 to 1167 of the family's 1533-position model. The record is from RNAcentral.
GUAGUCCACGCCGUAAACGAUGAGAACUAGCCGUUGGUCUCCUUGAGAGGUUAGUGGCGCAGCUAACGCGAUAAGUUCUCCGCCUGGGGAGUACGGCCGCAAGGUUAAAACUCAAAUGAAUUGACGGGGGCCCGCACAAGCGGUGGAGCAUGUGGUUUAAUUCGACGCAACGCGAAGAACCUUACCUGGUCUUGACAUCCACGGAAUCCUGCAGAGAUGUGGGAGUGCCUUCGGGAACCGUGAGACAGGUGCUGCAUGGCUGUCGUCAGCUCGUGUUGUGAAAUGUUGGGUUAAGUCCCGUAACGAGCGCAACCCUUGUCCUUAGUUGCCAGCGAGUAAUGUCGGGAACUCUAAGGAGACUGCCGGUGACAAACCGGA